Non-coding RNA from Daldinia vernicosa, 79 nucleotides. Lineage: Eukaryota; Fungi; Ascomycota; Sordariomycetes; Xylariales; Hypoxylaceae. The record is from the annotation of a RefSeq genome assembly.
UCUCGAUUCGUCUAGUGGUUAGGAUACCUGCUUGUCAUUGAAUUCGCAGGUGGCCGGGGUUCAAUUCCCCGAUCGAGAG